Molecule: ribosomal RNA, 920 nt
Filed under: uncultured bacterium
Lineage: Bacteria
Description: bacterial SSU rRNA
Rfam family: Bacterial small subunit ribosomal RNA
Source: RNAcentral
AACGGACUAUAUGAUUGAGUAAUCGAGACUAUAGUUAGUGGCGAAAGGGCGAGGAAUAAAUAGGUAACGUACCCCGAUCUCCAGAAUAGCGUCAGGAUACUUCGGUAUCCAUCCGAAAGGGGCAAUAAUACUGGAUAAUAUCAUCUGUUUAAUGCAGAUGAUCAAAGAUUUAUCGGUUUGGGAGCGGCCUAUUUCCCAUCAGCUUGUUGGUAAGGUAAAGGCUUACCAAGGCUACGACGGGUAUCGGGACUGAGAGGUUGACCCGACGCAUCGGAACUGAGACACUGUCCGGACCUCCACGGAGGGCUGCAGUAACGAAUAUUGCACAAUGGGCGCAAGCCUGAUGCAGCAAUGCCGCGUGUAGGAUGAAGCUCCUCGGAGUGUAAACUACUGUCAGGGGUUAGAAAGUGCGCUUCGGCGUAUUGAUCAGCCCCAGAGGAAGUCACGGCUAACUUCGUGCCAGCAGCCGCGGUAAUACGAAGGUGGCAAGCGUUGUUCGGAAUCACUGGGCUUAAAGCGCACGUAGGCGGAACAGAAAGUGUCUUGUGAAAGCCCCCGGCUUAACCGGGGAAUUGCUCGGCAAACUCCUGUUCUUGAGUCAAGUAGGGGUACAUGGAACUCUUAGUGGAGCGGUGGAAUGCGUAGAUAUUAAGAGGAACGCCAAUGGUGAAGACAGUGUACUGGGCUUGUACUGACGCUGAGGUGCGAAAGCGUGGGGAGCGAACGGGAUUAGAUACCCCGGUAGUCCACGCCGUAAACGAUGUCUACUAGGUUGUGGAGGUUCUGACACACUCACAGCCGGAGCAAAAGUGUUAAGUAGACCGCCUGGGGAGUACGGUCGCAAGGCUAAAACUCAAGGAAUUGACGGGGGCUCACACAAGCGGUGGAGCAUGUGGAUUAAUUCGAAGCAACGCGCAGAA